RNAcentral lists this unclassified non-coding RNA (330 nucleotides) under soil metagenome. RNAcentral describes it as "partial contains 5.8S ribosomal RNA, internal transcribed spacer 2, and large subunit ribosomal RNA". The stretch from base 1 to 121 matches the Rfam family "5.8S ribosomal RNA", at positions 35 to 154 of the family's 154-position model. The record is from RNAcentral.
GAUGAAGAACGUAGCGAAAUGCGAUAAGUAAUGUGAAUUGCAGAUUUCCAGUGAAUCAUCGAAUCUUUGAACGCACAUUGCGCCCCCUGGUAUUCCGGGGGGCAUGCCUGUCCGAGCGUCAUUACAACCCUCAAGCUCAGCUUGGUGUUGGGCCCCGCCGCCCCGGCGGGCCCUAAAGUCAGUGGCGGUGCCGUCCGGCUCCGAGCGUAGUAAUUCUUCUCGCUCUGGAGGUCCGGUCGUGUGCUCGCCAGCAACCCCCAAUUUUUUUCAGGUUGACCUCGGAUCAGGUAGGGAUACCCGCUGAACUUAAGCAUAUCAAUAAGCGGAGGA